RNAcentral lists this unclassified non-coding RNA (200 nucleotides) under Clavaria sp. RNAcentral's name for it is "partial internal transcribed spacer 2". The record is from RNAcentral. Lineage: Eukaryota; Fungi; Basidiomycota; Agaricomycetes; Agaricales; Clavariaceae.
UUAAGUUCAGCGGGUAGUCCUACCUGAUUUGAGGUCAAGUGUCAAGUUUGUAUGCCUCAAGUGAGACAGUCCUGAAAGGACUAUUAGAAGCUGAAAAAUACUAGCAUUAUCCUGGCGACAGCAACAUAGAUAAAUCUUUAUCAAACUGAAGCCAGUUCUGCAUGAUUUCUGCUAAUGCAUUUAAAAGGAGCUGACAGUCA